CUAGGGAGCGGCAGCAGGAGUGAUGAGCUCCACCGUCACCGGAGAGGGUCAAAGAGCCUUGAAAAAACUGAGUGAGAAACCAGAAGGAAGCAGCAGGGGCAGACUGGCCAUGUGGCACGGGGGCAGCUCGCCGGACAGAGUGCCAGGAAACACAGGCGAAGCCGGCGCGGCACUUUGGAGGCUGAAUGUCCAAGGGUGCCGGCCCCCUCCGCUUGCCUGGGGGGUGUCACACCAUGCUGGGAGCACCUGCUGGAGACAGCGCCUGGGGACGCGGUCAGACAGCAGGGACAGGCUCCCUCCUUGGCAGCAGCCCCGUGAGAACCAACUCCAGAUGCCAGGAGAGGCCCUCACCCCUUCCUCGGGCAGCACCCUCCUACUGGACCCUACCACGGGACCCCACUGCUUAAAGGCCCCGCCGCAUCUUAAUACCGCCACGCUGGGGACCACCCUUCCUGCUCAGAAUCCCUUGGGGUUCACCCACGUCCAGACCACCACAGCUCUCUGCUAAUGCACCUGGGACAGCAGUGGAAGAUGGGCCAAUAAUCCUUGAACCCAGACGGCAGACCCAGAAGACGCUCCUGGCUCCUGGCUUCAGAGUGGCCCAGCCCCGGUCAUUUCAGCCAUUUGGGGAGUGGACCAGAAGAUUCAUUCUCUCUCUCUGUCUCUCUCUCUCUCUCUCUCUAACUCUGCCUUUCAAAUAAAUAAAUCUUUAAAAUAACAAUAAUAAUA
Oryctolagus cuniculus (rabbit) is the source of this 729-nucleotide non-coding RNA. NCBI's taxonomy places the organism in Eukaryota, Metazoa, Chordata, Mammalia, Lagomorpha, Leporidae. The record is from RefSeq and is a predicted model, not a curated record.